CCACUUCCUCCAAACUCACUAUUUCUCCAUCCUCAGUUAGUGUUUCUCCUUCACCCAAAAUCAACACCCUAAGAGAUUUCUCAGGGCAUUUAUGCAGAGUAGGGUGAUAUUUACCACCACACUUGAAACAUAAUCCUUUCCUCCAUCUUUCUUCUGUUUCUUCAUUGUUAAAGCUUCGCACACCCUUCCACCUUUCCGUCGCACCAGAUCGAGAGUUUCCUUCGUGUUUACGAGCUGAGGAAACCGCCGUUGAGUUAGAAUUUGAGUUUGAACCAUACGACGCCGUCUUUGAGUUAGAAUAAGACCCAAUUGAACGUGUUUGGUUUUGGGUUUGCGACCCGUUUCUAUUUUUAAACGACCCGGACAAUGAUAACACUGAAAAAUAUAGUAUUUAUUUUAUAAUAUUAGUUUAAUAUUUUAUUAUUUUCUUUGCAUUUUAGUAGUAUUAUUAUCAUUUUUUAUUGUGUAUUACAGGUAUUUCCGGAACUUCUCAAAAUAAAAAAGGUCACAAAAUUAAUGUCAAAGUGGAUAAAAAAAGACAUUGGAUCAGAUGGAAGAAAAGCCCAAAAGAAGUUGGACGAACAAGCCAAGCCCACAUGCACUUGGCAUGUGCCAGGCACAUGUGGUCCACACAACAACACAUGGCGUUGGCCAUGCUUGUGGCACUCGCCACACCUAUAAGCCAUGGCNN
RNAcentral lists this long non-coding RNA (691 nucleotides) under Trifolium pratense (red clover). RNAcentral describes it as "long non-coding RNA (TPRA_LNC008710)". Lineage: Eukaryota; Viridiplantae; Streptophyta; Magnoliopsida; Fabales; Fabaceae. The record is from RNAcentral.